UUCUAAGCCACAAAUGUCCAAUAAUAGUAAAUAAGAGAACAAACUUUAUAAUAAUACGGUGUUAUCAGGAAAACAAAAGUGUCCGAGAGAGUGUUAUCUCCCUUUUAAAUCGCCAUGCAUUUUUAAAAUUCUAAAUACAGAAAGAGAGAAGUGUACAUACAUGCGUGAGGGAGAUGGCGCAGAGGGGGAGGGAGAGACCCAGCAGGCGCCCAAAGUGGGGCUCAAUCUCAUGACCCUGAGAUCAAGACCUGAGCUGAAAUCAAGAGUUGGACACUUAACCGACUGAGCCACCCAGACAUGGCAAAACAGCCCCACAUUCCUACCUGCAUCUGUCAGCUGGAGCUCUGGAAGGUGUCUGCCCUUGGAUGGACACAAGCCUGCCAGUUCGCCACACUCUCCCCCCAGCUCUUUCCACUCAUUUGAAAUUGCUUCCCUGGACCAGUUCGGCGUUUGAGUUCAUGACCCUGGCAUACGAAUAUAUUGUCCCCAGAGGCAGCAAGCGGGAUGUGCAUCAUUCAGCCCCUCCUAGUCCUCCUCUGAACUCCGUCUGCCUGUCUACUUCCCCACUGGCAACCAUCCGCCCAAGGGCCAUGGAGCUACUGAAGAAGAUCAUACCCC
Molecule: long non-coding RNA, 618 nt
Organism: Mirounga angustirostris (Northern elephant seal)
Lineage: Eukaryota; Metazoa; Chordata; Mammalia; Carnivora; Phocidae
Exons: 4
Source: RefSeq, a predicted model, not a curated record